RNAcentral lists this non-coding RNA (30 nucleotides) under Rattus norvegicus (Norway rat). Lineage: Eukaryota; Metazoa; Chordata; Mammalia; Rodentia; Muridae. The record is from RNAcentral.
UACAAGAAGAGGUUCAGUUUGAAAACACAA